This 242-nucleotide unclassified non-coding RNA is filed under the name Hevea brasiliensis (rubber tree). Lineage: Eukaryota; Viridiplantae; Streptophyta; Magnoliopsida; Malpighiales; Euphorbiaceae. The record is from RNAcentral.
AAAAAACAGUAGCUGGUUCCUGAAUUUGUCAAACCCGGUUAUAGCCAACUGACUUGCUGAACAGACGUCUAAUAUACACAACCUGAAGUCCGCUAGCCAAUAUAAGCAGCAUAUACUCUCCAAUUGUGUAAAAUAUAACACGAUUCCGCGUGCUCUCGUUAGUAUGACGAUGACGGGCAUCACGUGCUCUUAGGUACUUCUGCUCUGAAGUAACUGAUUCCAAUGCCUCUCUUAGUUCAGCA